GAUGAACGCUGGCGGCGUGCCUAAUACAUGCAAGUCGAGCGAACGGACGAGAAGCUUGCUUUUCUGAUGUUAGCGGCGGACGGGUGAGUAACACGUGGAUAACCUACCUAUAAGACUGGGAUAACUUCGGGAAACCGGAGCUAAUACCGGAUAAUAUUUUGAACCGCAUGGUUCAAAAGUGAAAGACGGUCUUGCUGUCACUUAUAGAUGGAUCCGCGCUGCAUUAGCUAGUUGGUAAGGUAACGGCUUACCAAGGCAACGAUGCAUAGCCGACCUGAGAGGGUGAUCGGCCACACUGGAACUGAGACACGGUCCAGACUCCUACGGGAGGCAGCAGUAGGGAAUCUUCCGCAAUGGGCGAAAGCCUGACGGAGCAACGCCGCGUGAGUGAUGAAGGUCUUCGGAUCGUAAAACUCUGUUAUUAGGGAAGAACAUAUGUGUAAGUAACUGUGCACAUCUUGACGGUACCUAAGCAGAAAGCCACGGCUAACUACGUG
Molecule: ribosomal RNA, 497 nt
Filed under: uncultured bacterium
Lineage: Bacteria
Description: partial 16S ribosomal RNA
Rfam family: Bacterial small subunit ribosomal RNA
Source: RNAcentral